AAAAACAAACUGUCAUUAAAUGUUUGUGAUCUCUACACGAACAACAACAACAAUGUGUCUGUGUGUCUACCAGAGAGAGAGAGAGAAAGAGAGUGAAUGAAAUUUCAGAAAAAAUAAAGUAGGUACAAACAAAUCAAGCAAAGAACAACGAUAUAGAAGUAGUAUUCUAUUAUCUAGAGUCUGACGACAACUAUAGUUCUAUAGAAUAUGUUUUUUUUAGUGAUAAGUAUAAUGUAUAUGCAUAAAAACAUUCAUAUUGGAAUUAUGUAAACAUUUUGUCUUUUUAAACAUUAACAAAUGUUGGUUGGUUGGUGGGCCACCAUUAUCCAUUCGUUGGAUGAUGAUGAUAAUGAUGCCCGGUAAAAUCCCUUCUUGACCACACAUUUUGAAUGCCCGUAUUUAUUUUCACAGCCAGCAAAUGAUAUAAGAAUCAUUUCCAUGUGCCCAGAUCAAUCAUCAGACAUUUGUUAAUCUUUGUUGGUUGCUUGAUAAACGAAACAAACAAAACAAACAGCCACACAUUCAUUUGAAUGCAAUGUGAUUGCCAGCCAACCAGCCAGCCAGCCAGCCACUGUGUGUACCAAAGCUAGAAACUACAAAGUAACCCAUUUGGGGUUGAACUUUGUUGGCAAACUGCAUGCAUUUGGCCAUGAGGUCAAGCAAAAUGUUCAAAAAAAGAUAAUAACAACAAGAUUAAACGCUUCAAACAAAACAAAAAACAACAUUAAUUUUUUUUCUUCAAUGGAACAUACCUCG
Molecule: long non-coding RNA, 756 nt
Organism: Musca domestica (house fly)
Lineage: Eukaryota; Metazoa; Arthropoda; Insecta; Diptera; Muscidae
Exons: 3
Source: RefSeq, a predicted model, not a curated record